UACGGAGGGGGCGAGCGUUAUUCGGAAUUAUUGGGCGUAAAGGGCGCGUAGGCGGCUGAACAAGUCAAAGGUGAAAUCCCUCGGCUUAACCGGGGAACUGCGUCCGAUACUGGAUGGCUUGAGUUUGGGAGAGGGAUGCGGAAUUCCAGGUGUAGCGGUGAAAUGCGUAGAUAUCUGGAGGAACACCGGUGGCGAAGGCGGCAUCCUGGACCAACACUGACACUGAGGAGCGAAAGCCAGGGGAGCAAACGGG
RNAcentral lists this ribosomal RNA (253 nucleotides) under uncultured bacterium. RNAcentral's name for it is "partial 16S ribosomal RNA". It matches the Rfam family "Bacterial small subunit ribosomal RNA", at positions 524 to 776 of the family's 1533-position model. The record is from RNAcentral.